CGCAGGUUAAGAUCCUCCCUGGGUUUUCUGGGAACAUAGUUCUUUGUACAAUGGCUGUGGCUUCAACACUGAACACCUACAGUAUGGAUCACAUUUCUGAAAAACCUAGCAUCUCAUCUACUUCCUGGCCCUCUACAGGGACAAAAGGGCCGACAAGAUAAUGGCCGAUAAAUGCUCUUGCCGCCAAACCUGACUACCUGAGUUUGAACCCCUGAGAACCCACGUGAAGGAUGGGAAGAACUGACUCCCACACGCUGC
Long non-coding RNA from Alexandromys fortis (reed vole), 258 nucleotides. RefSeq lists it as uncharacterized. The transcript is spliced from 3 exons. The record is from RefSeq and is a predicted model, not a curated record. Lineage: Eukaryota; Metazoa; Chordata; Mammalia; Rodentia; Cricetidae.